GUAACACGUACGCAACCUUCCCGUUACUGUGGGAUAGCCCAGGGAAACUUGGAUUAAUACCACAUAUUGCCAUUGGGAGGCAUCUCUUGAUGGCCAAAGAAUUUCGGUAACGGAUGGGCGUGCGGUUGAUUAGGUAGUUGGCGGGGUAACGGCCCACCAAGCCUACGAUCAAUAGCUGAUGUGAGAGCAUGAUCAGCCACACGGGCACUGAGACACGGGCCCGACUCCUACGGGAGGCAGCAGUAAGGAAUAUUGGGCAAUGGACGCAAGUCUGACCCAGCCAUGCCGCGUGAAGGAUGAAGGUCCUCUGGAUUGUAAACUUCUUUUUUCUGGGGAGAAAUGCAUCUUUUCUAAGGUGUUUGACGGUACCAGAAGAAUAAGCACCGGCUAACUCCGUGCCAGCAGCCGCGGUAAUACGGAGGGUGCAAGCGUUAUCCGGAUUCACUGGGUUUAAAGGGUGCGUAGGUGGGCAUGUAAGUCAGAGGUGAAAUCCCCGAGCUUAACUUGGGAACUGCCUUUGAUACUAUAUGUCUUGAAUGUUGUGGAGGUAAGCGGAAUAUGUCAUGUAGCGGUGAAAUGCUUAGAUAUGACAUAGAACACCGAUUGCGAAGGCAGCUUGCCACACAAAUAUUGACACUGAGGCA
Molecule: ribosomal RNA, 644 nt
Filed under: uncultured bacterium
Lineage: Bacteria
Description: bacterial SSU rRNA
Rfam family: Bacterial small subunit ribosomal RNA
Source: RNAcentral